GCGGGUGUAGCUCAGUUGGUUAGAGCGCCAGUUUGUGGCACUGGAGGCCGCCGGUUCAAAACCGGUCACUCGCCCCA
Molecule: transfer RNA, 77 nt
Filed under: Alphaproteobacteria bacterium
Lineage: Bacteria; Pseudomonadati; Pseudomonadota; Alphaproteobacteria
Description: tRNA-His
Rfam family: tRNA
About the family: Transfer RNA (tRNA) molecules are approximately 80 nucleotides in length. Their secondary structure includes four short double-helical elements and three loops (D, anti-codon, and T loops). Further hydrogen bonds mediate the characteristic L-shaped molecular structure. tRNAs have two regions of fundamental functional importance: the anti-codon, which is responsible for specific mRNA codon recognition, and the 3' end, to which the tRNAs corresponding amino acid is attached (by aminoacyl-tRNA synthetases). tRNAs cope with the degeneracy of the genetic code in two manners: having more than one tRNA (with a specific anti-codon) for a particular amino acid; and 'wobble' base-pairing, i.e. permitting non-standard base-pairing at the 3rd anti-codon position.
Source: RNAcentral